UCCCUGGUGGUCCAGUGGUUAAGAAGCUGCCUUGCAAUGCAGGGGACCCAGGUUCCAUCCCUGGUCAGGGAA
RNAcentral lists this transfer RNA (72 nucleotides) under Bos taurus (domestic cattle). It matches the Rfam family "tRNA". From Rfam's summary of the family: Transfer RNA (tRNA) molecules are approximately 80 nucleotides in length. Their secondary structure includes four short double-helical elements and three loops (D, anti-codon, and T loops). RNAcentral also lists the same sequence under 4 other names. Lineage: Eukaryota; Metazoa; Chordata; Mammalia; Artiodactyla; Bovidae. The record is from Rfam by way of RNAcentral.